GACGAACGCUGGCGGCGUGCUUAACACAUGCAAGUCGAACGGAAAGGCCCUGCUUUUGUGGGGUGCUCGAGUGGCGAACGGGUGAGUAACACGUGAGUAACCUGCCCUUGACUUUGGGAUAACUUCAGGAAACUGGGGCUAAUACCGGAUAGGAGCUCCUGCUGCAUGGUGGGGGUUGGAAAGUUUCGGCGGUUGGGGAUGGACUCGCGGCUUAUCAGCUUGUUGGUGGGGUAGUGGCUUACCAAGGCUUUGACGGGUAGCCGGCCUGCGAGGGUGACCGGCCACAUUGGGACUGAGAUACGGCACAGACUCCUACGGGAGGCAGCAGAGGGGAAUAUUGCACAAUGGGCGGAAGCCUGAUGCAGCAACGCCGCGUGCGGGAUGACGGCCUUCGGGUUGUAAACCGCUUUCGCCUGUGACGAAGCGUGAGUGACGGUAAUGGGUAAAGAAGCACCGGCUAACUACGUG
RNAcentral lists this ribosomal RNA (468 nucleotides) under uncultured bacterium. RNAcentral's name for it is "partial 16S ribosomal RNA". It matches the Rfam family "Bacterial small subunit ribosomal RNA", at positions 28 to 507 of the family's 1533-position model. The record is from RNAcentral.